CCUCAGAUCUAUCGAUAUAUAAAAACAGAGGUGCAUUUUAAAAUCAAAAAUUUUAUGUGGUUUAUGCAUAAGGGAGUGAUUCUGACUAAGGACAAUUUGACAAAACGUAGGUGGGAGGAGAGUAAACGAUGUUGCUUUUGUGAUAACAAGUAAAUGAUUCAACAUUUGUUUCUCAAAUGCCCACUAGCCAAAUUAUUGUUGUGA
RNAcentral lists this ribosomal RNA (204 nucleotides) under Triticum aestivum (bread wheat). RNAcentral's name for it is "partial small subunit ribosomal RNA". Lineage: Eukaryota; Viridiplantae; Streptophyta; Magnoliopsida; Poales; Poaceae. The record is from RNAcentral.